AAGCAAAGAAGUAUAAAUACACUUAAUUUCGACUUAAAUUUAGAGAAAUAAAUUUCUCCAUGCUUA
RNAcentral lists this transfer RNA (66 nucleotides) under Bambusicaliscelis flavus. RNAcentral's name for it is "tRNA-Arg". The record is from RNAcentral. Lineage: Eukaryota; Metazoa; Arthropoda; Insecta; Hemiptera; Caliscelidae.